GGAUAACCUGCCCAAAGGUCUGGGAUAACCCCGGGAAACUGGGGAUAAUACCGGAUGGAUCACUACUGCUGGAAUGCUUGGUGGUCGAAAGGCAACGCCUUUGGAUGGGUCUGCGGCGGAUUAGGUUGACGCCGGUGUAACGUACCGGCGUGCCUGUAAUCCGUACGGGUUGUGGGAGCAAGAGCCCGGAGAUGGAUUCUGAGACACGAAUCCAGGCCCUACGGGGCGCAGCAGGCGCGAAAACUCUGCAAUGCAGGCAACUGCGACAGGGGGACAUCGAGUGGCAUCCACCUUGGGUGCCUGUCCAACCGUCUAAAAAACGGUUGUUAGCAAGGGCCGGGUAAGACCGGUGCCAGCCGCCGCGGUAAUACCGGCGGCUCGAGUGGUGGCCGAUAUUAUUGAGUCUAAAGGGUCCGUAGCCGGCUUUGCAAGUCCCCUGGGAAAUCCAGCGGCUUAACCGUUGGGCUUUCAUGGGAUACUACAUUGCUUGGGACUGGGAGAGGUAGGAGGUACUCGAGGGGUAGGGGUGAAAUCCUGUAAUCCUUCGGGGACCACCGGUGGCGAAGGCGUCCUACCAGAACAGGUCCGACGGUGAGGGACGAAAGCUAGGGGCACGAACCGGAUUAGAUACCCGGGUAGUCCUAGCCGUAAACGAUGCCCGCUAGGUGUCACGACGGUCGUGAAUCGUCGUGGUGCCGUAGGGAAGCCGCGAAGCGGGCCACUUGGGAAGUACGACCGCAAGGUUGAAACUUAA
This 754-nucleotide ribosomal RNA is filed under the name uncultured archaeon. Its description in RNAcentral is "bacterial SSU rRNA". It matches the Rfam family "Archaeal small subunit ribosomal RNA", at positions 102 to 859 of the family's 1478-position model. The record is from RNAcentral.